Molecule: transfer RNA, 72 nt
Filed under: Synura synuroidea
Lineage: Eukaryota; Synurophyceae; Synurales; Mallomonadaceae
Description: tRNA-Gln
Rfam family: tRNA
About the family: Transfer RNA (tRNA) molecules are approximately 80 nucleotides in length. Their secondary structure includes four short double-helical elements and three loops (D, anti-codon, and T loops).
Source: RNAcentral
UAAAAUAUAGCCAAAUGGUAAGGCAUUCGUUUUUGAUACGAAUAUGUAAAGGUUCGAUUCCUUUUAUUUUAU